GGUCGAGUAGCUCAGUUGGUUAGAGCGUUGGUCUUAUGAGCCAACGGUCGCGGGUUCGAUUCCCGCCCCGACCA
This is a transfer RNA of Paramecium tetraurelia, 74 nucleotides long. It matches the Rfam family "tRNA". From Rfam's summary of the family: Transfer RNA (tRNA) molecules are approximately 80 nucleotides in length. Their secondary structure includes four short double-helical elements and three loops (D, anti-codon, and T loops). The record is from Rfam. Lineage: Eukaryota; Ciliophora; Oligohymenophorea; Peniculida; Parameciidae.